GCAUCGGUGGUUCAGUGGUAGAAUGCU
RNAcentral lists this non-coding RNA (27 nucleotides) under Bombyx mori (domestic silkworm). Lineage: Eukaryota; Metazoa; Arthropoda; Insecta; Lepidoptera; Bombycidae. The record is from RNAcentral. RNAcentral also lists the same sequence under 7 other names.